This 632-nucleotide ribosomal RNA is filed under the name uncultured bacterium. RNAcentral describes it as "bacterial SSU rRNA". It matches the Rfam family "Bacterial small subunit ribosomal RNA", at positions 554 to 1185 of the family's 1533-position model. The record is from RNAcentral.
UUGGGCGUAAGAGCUCGUAGGCGGUUUGUCGCGUCUGCCGUGAAAGUCCGGGGCUCAACUCCGGAUCUGCGGUGGGUACGGGCAGACUAGAGUGAUGUAGGGGAGACUGGAAUUCCUGGUGUAGCGGUGAAAUGCGCAGAUAUCAGGAGGAACACCGAUGGCGAAGGCAGGUCUCUGGGCAUUAACUGACGCUGAGGAGCGAAAGCAUGGGGAGCGAACAGGAUUAGAUACCCUGGUAGUCCAUGCCGUAAACGUUGGGCACUAGGUGUGGGGGACAUUCCACGUUUUCCGCGCCGUAGCUAACGCAUUAAGUGCCCCGCCUGGGGAGUACGGCCGCAAGGCUAAAACUCAAAGGAAUUGACGGGGGCCCGCACAAGCAGCGGAGCAUGCGGAUUAAUUCGAUGCAACGCGAAGAACCUUACCAAGGCUUGACAUGGACCGGACCGCCGCAGAAAUGUGGUUUCCCCUUUGGGGCCGGUUUACAGGUGGUGCAUGGUUGUCGUCAGCUCGUGUCGUGAGAUGUUGGGUUAAGUCCCGCAACGAGCGCAACCCUCGUUCUAUGUUGCCAGCGGUUCGGCCGGGGACUCAUAGGAGACUGCCGGGGUCAACUCGGAGGAAGGUGGGGACGACGU